Molecule: ribosomal RNA, 371 nt
Filed under: uncultured organism
Description: bacterial SSU rRNA
Rfam family: Bacterial small subunit ribosomal RNA
Source: RNAcentral
CAGAGGGGGCAAGCGUUGUUCGGAAUUACUGGGCGUAAGGGGCGCGUAGGUGGCCUUCUAAGUUGAACGUGAAAUCCCUGGGCUCAACCCAGGAACUGCGUCCAAGACUGGGAGGCUUGAAUCCGGGAGAGGGAUGCGGAAUUCCAGGUGUAGCGGUGAAAUGCGUAGAUAUCUGGAGGAACACCGGUGGCGAAGGCGGCAUCCUGGACCGGUAUUGACACUGAGGCGCGAAAGCCAGGGGAGCAAACGGGAUUAGAUACCCCGGUAGUCCUGGCCCUAAACGAUGAAUGCUUGGUGUGGCGGGUAUCGAUCCCUGCCGUGCCGAAGCUAACGCAUUAAGCAUUCCGCCUGGGGAUACGGUCGCAAGGCUG